GCAUAUCAAUAAGCGGAGGAAAAGAAACCAACAGGGAUUGCCCUAGUAACGGCGAGUGAAGCGGCAACAGCUCAAAUUUGAAAUCUGGCGUCUUUGGCGUCCGAGUUGUAAUUUGCAGAGGGCGCUUUGGCAUUGGCAGCGGUCCAAGUUCCUUGGAACAGGACGUCACAGAGGGUGAGAAUCCCGUACGUGGUCGCUAGCCUCUACCGUGUAAAGCCCCUUCGACGAGUCGAGUUGUUUGGGAAUGCAGCUCUAAAUGGGAGGUAAAUUUCUUCUAAAGCUAAAUACUGGCCAGAGACCGAUAGCGCACAAGUAGAGUGAUCGAAAGAUGAAAAGCACUUUGGAAAGAGAGUUAAAAAGCACGUGAAAUUGUUGAAAGGGAAGCGCUUGCAGCCAGACUUGCCUGUAGUUGCUCAUCCGGGUUUUUACCCGGUGCACUCUUCUAUAGGCAGGCCAGCAUCAGUUUGGGCGGUUGGAUAAAGGUCUCUGUCACGUACCUCCUCUCGGGGAGAACUUAUAGGGGAGACGUAAUGCAACCAGCCUGGACUGAGGUCCGCGCAUCUGCUAGGAUG
Molecule: ribosomal RNA, 572 nt
Filed under: Boeremia hedericola
Lineage: Eukaryota; Fungi; Ascomycota; Dothideomycetes; Pleosporales; Didymellaceae
Description: eukaryotic LSU rRNA
Rfam family: Eukaryotic large subunit ribosomal RNA
Source: RNAcentral